This is a long non-coding RNA of Penaeus monodon (black tiger shrimp), 171 nucleotides long. RefSeq lists it as uncharacterized. The record is from RefSeq and is a predicted model, not a curated record. The transcript is spliced from 3 exons. Lineage: Eukaryota; Metazoa; Arthropoda; Malacostraca; Decapoda; Penaeidae.
GAUUCGUCGCUUGAAGCAGAUGUGCUCGUGGCGGUGGUGGUGAUUCUGCUGACUCUGUUGCUGCUGGCGACUGCGACACAGCUUUACAAGCGCUUCAAGAAACAAAGUGUGAAGAUGGAUGCGGGUGAGGGAGAUACGCUUAACUAGCUUUCCCGAAGAGCUACCGAAUAA